CUGUGCUUCCAGUUAAGCCAGCUGGACUCCUCUCCUCUGGGGGGCAGGAAUACACUGGCUGCAAACAGCAGUGUCAUUGGUAGUGGACACGGCCUGUUGCUUGUGUGAGUUGUCCUAAGGGACCAUGGGAACAGUG
This is a small nucleolar RNA of Heterocephalus glaber (naked mole-rat), 136 nucleotides long. Its record names the gene SNORA70. It matches the Rfam family "Small nucleolar RNA SNORA70". Rfam says of the family: snoRNA U70 seems to be exclusive to mammals and is a member of the H/ACA class of snoRNA which contain H (ANANNA) and ACA box motifs. H/ACA box snoRNAs are involved in the conversion of uridines to pseudouridines (5-ribosyluracil) a constituent of structural RNAs (transfer, ribosomal, small nuclear, and small nucleolar). NCBI's taxonomy places the organism in Eukaryota, Metazoa, Chordata, Mammalia, Rodentia, Bathyergidae. The record is from Ensembl.